AAACCCCGAAAACCCUAGCAGCAACAGGAGCCUCCUUCCAGCGCUGCAACCAUAAGCUGGGCUUCUCCACGCACACACUGCCACGCACAUCUCUGUACGACCACCUCCAUACCUCCAGGCUGGCCGAAUACCUGCAAAAAAAAACGCACGGAAACAACAGCAAACAGAAAAACAACAGCAUAGAGGUGAAUUUUUAAUUAUUUUUUCAUUUUAUUUUUUGUAAAUCGGGAUAUAAGAAAGCCAUUCGAAUACUGUAACGGGAUUUACGCAUUCAAUAUACAAAGAAAUUGAGAAUACAAAAGAAUCAAAAAAGCAGAGAAAGGUGAUUUUCUGGGUUUUUUUAUUCCUUUCUAUCUUGUUGGUUACUUGAUUUUUUUUCUUUACUUUUUUAAUUUGUACAUUCAUCAAUCGUUGUUUAAAAAAGAAAUAGGAAAAUGAAAGGGAGGGAAACGUACCUGGUAGCGCGAUCCUGGCUCUCUCCGGCGUCAUUGGAGCAGGGGCUGGGAUCAAUGACUGCUCGAGUACCUUCAAUACCCAGAACGGCGCUGAGUUUUUUUUUCCGUUUAGGUUUU
Molecule: long non-coding RNA, 572 nt
Filed under: Gossypium barbadense (sea-island cotton)
Lineage: Eukaryota; Viridiplantae; Streptophyta; Magnoliopsida; Malvales; Malvaceae
Description: long non-coding RNA (GBAR_LNC022202)
Source: RNAcentral